Non-coding RNA from Notechis scutatus (mainland tiger snake), 1106 nucleotides. Lineage: Eukaryota; Metazoa; Chordata; Lepidosauria; Squamata; Elapidae. The record is from RefSeq and is a predicted model, not a curated record.
AAGGUAGCGAACGUUCAUUGGCUGCGAAGAGGAGAGAAAGGGAGCAACGGGAUUGGCUGGUUUCACGCAGAAAUGCCAGCCAAUCGGAAAGCGGCAAAGCACUAUAAAAGGCGCACGCGUCGGCGUUUCGCUCUUUCGUGCCUUUGCUCCGUCGGAAUGAGGUGACUCGUGGGCGGUUGGUCCUUUGGCUCGCUUCCUGGUCGGAGCGACAUGCGGCCGCGGUGCCUGCAUUUACUCCAAGGCUCUAGAACCCAGCGGGGCCUUUCGAUUUCAAAAUAUACCUGAAGAUGAGAGGAGGAAGAUUUAAUGGAAUUGAUGGACAAACCUGCUGGUGGACACUUUGCCAAUUGAGAGCGUGGGUAAUGGGGAGAAGUGAUGGACCAAAUUUAUAGAUGAAACUCAAGCUAUGUAAGAAGACAAGUGUGCCUAGGGAGGUCCAUGUGACAUUUGUGAGGAGAACAAUAAGGGAUGAAAUAUUGAAGAGAGUGAGGGAAGAACCAUUACAAUACAGAAAAAAGGAAAUCAGGGUGUUGGCUUCCCUUGGAAGAUAAGAGGUCUAAGACGACUUAUCAGUUUUUGACAACAAAGCUGAAUGAAAAGGAAUACAUUUUAAAUGGCCGAUACCUGAAGGAAUCCUAAUUAACUGGAAGUCUAGAAGAUAUAGAGUGGAUUCUCUUUUUAUGAGAGACAUGCAAGCAUUUUUGCACAUGGUGCACAAGAUAAGGAACCCAAAAGAAAACUGAGUUCAUAUGCUAAUAUGGUGGCAUUGUAGUCAGACAGCGCUGAAAGGCGUGGAGGAUGUGGUUGAGUUCGCCCCUCCUGAAUGACCUGAUUGGUCUGAGCUCCCAGCCCCUCAGUGAAAGACUCCCAGGUAUGUUUCCAGCUGGGUAACGUCAGAUCAAAAUGGGACAAGGGAAAAGGAAGCAGAUGGAAAUAGAAGAGGACAGGAAUUGCAGCAUAGGUGGACUUAUAUCCUUCAACUGAACUACCUUUCUCAACAAAUGGAGGCAAAGAUCGUUUCUAUUUAAAGGUUUAAGUGACACCAGGAGUAAAAUGUUGACUGAAGUAGUGGAAGUUGGCAAAAGCUGCUUUGUGUUGACAAUGGU